GAUCCUGGCUCAAGAUGAACGCUAGCGACAGGCUUAACACAUGCAAGUCGAGGGGCAGCGGGGGUGCAGGCUUGCCUGCACCUGCCGGCGACCGGCGCACGGGUGAGUAACACGUAUGGAACCUGCCCGCCACAGGGGGAUAACCCGGGGAAACCCGGCCUAAUACCCCAUGCCGCCCGGACCGGGCACCCGGACCGGGCGAAAGGAGGAAUCCGGUGGCGGCUGGGCAUGCGGCGCAUUAGCUUGACGGCGGGGUAACGGCCCACCGUGGCGACGAUGCGUAGGGGUUCUGAGAGGAAGGCCCCCCACACUGGAACUGAGACACGGUCCAGACUCCUACGGGAGGCAGCAGUGAGGAAUAUUGGUCAAUGGGCGGAAGCCUGAACCAGCCAAGUCGCGUGAGGGAAUAAGGCCCUACGGGUCGUAAACCUCUUUUGCCGGGGAGCAAGGGCCGGGACGCGUCCCGGCCCGGAGAGUACCCGGAGAAAAAGCAUCGGCUAACUCCGUGCCAGCAGCCGCGGUAAUACGGAGGAUGCGAGCGUUAUCCGGAUUUAUUGGGUUUAAAGGGUGCGUANGCGGGCUUUUAAGUCAGCGGUAAAAAUUCGGGGCUCAACCCCGUCCGGCCGUUGAUACUGGGGGCCUUGAGUGGGCGAGAAGAAAGCNGAAUGCGUGGUGUANCGGUGAAAUGCAUANAUAUCACGCAAAACCCCGAUUGCGAAGGCAGCCUUCCCGGCGCCUACUGACGCUGAAGCACGAAAGGUGCGGGGAUCGNACAAGAUUAGAUACCCUGGUAGUCCGGCCAGUAAACGAUGGAUGCCANCUGUCCCGGGCCGAUGGGGGCCUGGGUGGCAAAGCGAA
RNAcentral lists this ribosomal RNA (858 nucleotides) under uncultured bacterium. Its description in RNAcentral is "bacterial SSU rRNA". It matches the Rfam family "Bacterial small subunit ribosomal RNA", at positions 15 to 855 of the family's 1533-position model. The record is from RNAcentral.